Molecule: small RNA, 581 nt
Filed under: Fusibacter sp. 3D3
Lineage: Bacteria; Bacillati; Bacillota; Clostridia; Eubacteriales; Fusibacteraceae
Source: RNAcentral
UGAUAGAGUUAGCUUAGAGGUGCAGUAUUCUAGUCAGAGCUUCUAAUUCUGAAGGCGGGGCUAAAAAUCCGCUAAAGGGCACAUCGAUGAAGUUCCUGGUUCUUGCUUGAAACGCCCAGUUUCGGGUUGGUGCUGGGAGUAAGGAUAUGGGGGCAUUCUGCAAUGGCAUGCGGGAAAUGACCCUCAAUCUGUGGAGACUUGCUAUGUGCAAGAUUAAACCUACAUUUGGUCGAAAGGUUAUGUGUAGUGUAGCCUGCCUUGAGUGAUGGCGGUGGACGGUAGUUCAGGGAUCUUUCUAUUGGCCAAUAGGACGGUUCUAUUGCUAAUCAAAACCGGUGUUGCAAAAGAGGCUAGGGAUUAGUUUGCCUGUUGAGGAAAUCUCCUAGGCUGUUAUUUUAUAGAUCGAAAAGGGAUUGGAGUGUGGACUAAGUGGUAGUCUAGUCUUAUAACUGGAAACGGUAUAAAUAAGAAUUUGAAGGGAAACCGCUGUUUUGGCGACAUAACAGUAAACUUAUGGGAAAUCCUACUAGACCUAAGCCGCAGAAUUAACCUUUUUGAUUACCUCUAAGCUUUAUUCACAA